RNAcentral lists this ribosomal RNA (253 nucleotides) under uncultured bacterium. RNAcentral's name for it is "partial 16S ribosomal RNA". It matches the Rfam family "Bacterial small subunit ribosomal RNA", at positions 524 to 776 of the family's 1533-position model. The record is from RNAcentral.
UACGUAGGGUGCAAGCGUUAAUCGGAAUUACUGGGCGUAAAGCGUGCGCAGGCGGUGCUGUAAGACAGGCGUGAAAUCCCCGGGCUUAACCUGGGAAUGGCGCUUGUGACUGCAGUGCUGGAGUGCGGCAGAGGGGGAUGGAAUUCCGCGUGUAGCAGUGAAAUGCGUAGAUAUGCGGAGGAACACCGAUGGCGAAGGCAAUCCCCUGGGCCUGCACUGACGCUCAUGCACGAAAGCGUGGGGAGCAAACAGG